UCACACCCGUUCCCAUCCCGAACACGGAAGUUAAGCUCAAUUGCGCCGAUGGUACUGCAAUUAUGUGGGAGAGUAGGUCGUCGCCAGGC
Molecule: ribosomal RNA, 89 nt
Filed under: Spirochaeta isovalerica
Lineage: Bacteria; Pseudomonadati; Spirochaetota; Spirochaetia; Spirochaetales; Spirochaetaceae
Source: RNAcentral